Molecule: transfer RNA, 73 nt
Filed under: Stegodyphus mimosarum
Lineage: Eukaryota; Metazoa; Arthropoda; Arachnida; Araneae; Eresidae
Rfam family: tRNA
About the family: Transfer RNA (tRNA) molecules are approximately 80 nucleotides in length. Their secondary structure includes four short double-helical elements and three loops (D, anti-codon, and T loops).
Source: Rfam by way of RNAcentral
GCCUUCGUAGUGCAGCGGGCAGCACGCUCGAAGCGUAACCGAGAUGUCCAGGGUUCGAUUCCCGGCGAAGGCG